CCGGGGGUACAUGUUGUGAGAACAGGACACUGGCUUAACCCCUUGAAGGACCUCCACCAACCAAAUUUAUGUCAUGAAUAUUCCAGGGAACUCCUUUGAUAACCAAAAUGAAAAGAAGGUAGGCUGAUGGAUUUCUCCUUCCAAUAUAGUGCGUACCUAUCCAAGACAAACUGUUAACUAUUGUCUGGUGUCCAUAAUAACCUACAUAAGAGACUUCUGAAUGUCAGCUGCUGUGUGUUAUGGACAGGUGGUCUUCACGGCAGCUGUGGUGAGAAACAGAAGAUUGGACAUUUUAG
Molecule: long non-coding RNA, 296 nt
Organism: Bufo gargarizans (Asiatic toad)
Lineage: Eukaryota; Metazoa; Chordata; Amphibia; Anura; Bufonidae
Exons: 2
Source: RefSeq, a predicted model, not a curated record